UCGUCACACUAUCAUUAACUGAAUCCAUAGGUUAAUGAGGCGAACCGGGGGAACUGAAACAUCUAAGUACCCCGAGGAAAAGAAAUCAACCGAGAUUCCCCCAGUAGCGGCGAGCGAACGGGGAGGAGCCCAGAGCCUGAAUCAGCAUGUGUGUUAGUGGAAGCGUCUGGAAAGGCGCGCGAUACAGGGUGACAGCCCCGUACACAAAAGCGCAUGUGCUGUGAGCUCGAUGAGUAGGGCGGGACACGUGGUAUCCUGUCUGAAUAUGGGGGGACCAUCCUCCAAGGCUAAAUACUCCUGACUGACCGAUAGUGAACCAGUACCGUGAGGGAAAGGCGAAAAGAACCCCGGCGAGGGGAGUGAAAAAGAACCUGAAACCGUGUACGUACAAGCAGUGGGAGCACAGGUUUACCUGUGUGACUGCGUACCUUUU
Molecule: ribosomal RNA, 433 nt
Filed under: Salmonella enterica subsp. enterica serovar Enteritidis
Lineage: Bacteria; Pseudomonadati; Pseudomonadota; Gammaproteobacteria; Enterobacterales; Enterobacteriaceae
Description: partial 23S ribosomal RNA
Rfam family: Bacterial large subunit ribosomal RNA
Source: RNAcentral